RNAcentral lists this ribosomal RNA (292 nucleotides) under uncultured bacterium. RNAcentral's name for it is "partial 16S ribosomal RNA". It matches the Rfam family "Bacterial small subunit ribosomal RNA", at positions 505 to 796 of the family's 1533-position model. The record is from RNAcentral.
GUGCCAGCAGCCGCGGUAAGACGAACCGUGCGAACGUUGUUCGGAAUCACUGGGCUUAAAGGGCGCGUAGGCGGCUCGCCAAGUCAGGGGUGAAAUCUUUCGGCUCAACCGGAAAAGUGCCUCUGAUACUGGCGAGCUCGAGGGAGGUAGGGGCAGCUGGAACUUCCGGUGGAGCGGUGAAAUGCGUUGAUAUCGGAAGGAACGCCGGUGGCGAAAGCGAGCUGCUGGAUCUCUUCUGACGCUGAGGCGCGAAAGCCAGGGGAGCAAACGGGAUUAGAUACCCUCGUAGUCC